GCAUCCCAGUGACCGAAAUCACCCUUGCCACCCAGGAGCUGGGCAUCAGGUACAACUGGAGGAAGAACGAGCAAGCAGUUAGUGGACGCAGUUUGGUAUCUAUCCAGAGGAAUUGGAGAAUAAUGUAAGACUUGCUGUGACUUUGCUAGAAGACAUAAAUGCUGUUACCAAACAGGAAUUAGCUUCCUGCUUAUGAAUUAUCAUACUGCAUUCUACCAUGCCCAAGAGGAACCACAUAUGACUGUUAUGUGGUCAGCAAAGGAGCACAUGCUAUGGGCAGUGGGUGCACUGUGCUUCAUGACUACCUUCUUCAUUGCAGGCCUUUCUGCCCAGGAAGUGGACAAGCCAGUCAGGGAACGCACAGCAGAUCCAGGUUGCAUGGUCAUUCCUCCGCUUAGGGAGCCAGAAAGGCACACCUGGGAACUCCUGGGUCUCCAGCACUGCUCGCAGCAGGGCCAAGAUGGGCUGCGGGCCAGAGCAUGAAGCCCUGGAAUGACUGAAACUUAGUUUUCAUCCUGGCAACAUGGAGGCCAAAAUUAAAAUGAUGUUCAAUUAUUUAAAAUGAGUAUUUCUUCCACUGACUGUCAUGGACUAAGAUUUAUACCCCCGUACUCAUAACGCUAUUUAGGAGUUCAUGGUGCCUCUCCAUCUGUCAGCCCCUCCAUCUGUGUCUUUGCCCCUGCAUCCUGCUACCCUUUGCCAGAACCUUCUUGAUUAUCUCUACUCAAUUACUUUUCCAUGGUAACUUUCGUAGCAGAUGUAAAAACCUGGUACUUUAAUUGGAUGAGGUUUUUUUUGUCGGGGGGAAUCAGGGGAGGUGCCAAGAUUGAACCCAGAUCUUACACAUGCUAAAUGCACAAAUACCAAGCUACCUCCAAUUCCUUGGAAUGCAUUUUACAGAGUAUGUUAAUAGAAAAAUUUAAGGUUCAAUAAGGCCAGCACAUCAGGAGACAAAUGCCGUUGAAAAGGUAGUUAUUACAGUUUAAGACUAGGAGCCAUGCCACACCACACUGGGCCACAGUGGGCCAACACCAAAGUUGGUCCUGGGCAGAGGAAGAGAGAGAACUCCUGGCUUGGGCCUUUAUUGCGGGAAGAAGGGAUGGGCCCUGGGGGGCUGUCGCUGGCUGUGCGCAGUAGCCUGGAGUAAUUAGAGCAGGAUAGUGGAUGGAACGGUGGGGGAAACCACGAAAAGGCAGCCUGAGGUAUGGGUCCUGAAUGCAUGUUGUAGUCUGACGCGGUUGCUCAGACCUGUAAUUCCAGCAGUCUGGGAGGCUAAGCCAGGAGAAUCACAAGUUGCAAUCCAGCUUGAGUAGCUUAGCAAGAUUCUAAAAAAUAAAAAAGGGCUGGAGAUGUAGGUCAGUGUGAAGGCUCCAGUUUCAAUAUCCAGUAUUUAAAAAAAAAAAAAAAAGCAAGUUCUUUGCUCUCCCCAAGCCACAAAGCCCAGCAGGUGUGUUCAUUCUCACCUGGAAUUUGCUGGCCCUGGGAGGCUGGGAGUUGGGGGCAGGCCCUCUGGAACCAGCAAGGCCCAGCGUCAGGGCAUUAGAAAUACAUAACAGAGAAAGAUAUUGCUAACAUUACUAAAUGUGCAUAUAAAUAUGAAGUGAAUAUUUAGAGAAUUGGAUUUUAAAGUGUUGAUUAUUCAUCAAUGAGGUACCCUCCAAUUUGCAAAAUUGACUUUCUUUCCUUCAGUGGGGUGUUACGGUUUGUGUCUGUGUGUCCCCCCAAAGCCUCAUGCGGUCAUGGGGCAGGCUUUUACAGUUUGAUUGAUUAUGGGUGUGAGAGCUACACCUGCUCUGGGGUGGAUAGUUUGCAUAUGUAAGGGACAGGAAGGGGCUGCUUGCUGCCAUUCCUCCCUUGUGUGCUUGUUGCUUUUGCUGUGUUCUGCCGCCAUGAGCUAUAGCCCUCUGCCAUGUGCUACUCUGCCUUGUAACCUGCCAAGUAUGGACUAAAACCUCCACAAACUGUAAGAGAAAUAAACCUUGCCUUCCUUAAUUUUGGGCAUCAGGUAUUUUGUCCCAGCAAUGAGAGAAAAGUAACCAUGACAUGGGGUUUUUAACUUUUCAUCAUUUUGGCCCUAUACAACUUUUGUUAAAUUUGUCCCUAGACAUUAAUCUGCUUCAUUGCUAUUGUGAGUAAGUGAUCUACAUCCUGAGAAGUGGUGCUGGGAUCCCACACUUCAGGCUUGUGUCAGGUCUUGGCCAUCCUAUUGAAAACCUGCUCAAAUUCUCACAAGAAGUCCAUGAGCAGAGCUUUGGCAACUGUUCUGCACAUGUGCUCCAGGAUCUUGUAAUUAACAGGUUACCACUACUUCCCCAGCCAGCUUUGCCAUGCCCUAAUCUCCUAUCUCAUUUCCCCUGAGAGACACAAAACCCUAUAAUUUGUCAUAGGGUUUGAGGAAGUUGGAGAUCUCUGUUUUCUAUAGCUUCUUCAAACUGGAAGGGGCUGCAGUCACUACCUCCUGGAAAUUAUAUGCUCCCCAAUUAUCUUGGGGCUCUGUGGCUCCCUGGCUGGGUUGAAGAAAGAAAAACCUGUCAGAAAACUAUGAGAAAAGAGUUAAUUACCGUUGAGCUUCUCUAUUAGCCCAAAUAUGAGGAGUAGGUCAGAUUUCCACAUUUCCUUAGCUGCACAGGAGUCUUGCUUUUUUAAUGUUCUUUUUUAUUUUAAAGAGAAUAGAAAACAAUAAAAAUGAUACAGAAUUUCAAAGCAAGAUGAUAGGAAAUUGACAAUGGCUAUUGUAUUGCAUAUUGUUAUCUUCAAAGAGGUUGCUGAGAUUACCAG
RNAcentral lists this long non-coding RNA (2778 nucleotides) under Chinchilla lanigera (long-tailed chinchilla). RNAcentral describes it as "lncRNA (ENSCLAG00000025427.1)". Lineage: Eukaryota; Metazoa; Chordata; Mammalia; Rodentia; Chinchillidae. The record is from RNAcentral.